RNAcentral lists this long non-coding RNA (370 nucleotides) under Nicotiana benthamiana. RNAcentral's name for it is "long non-coding RNA (NBEN_LNC002039)". Lineage: Eukaryota; Viridiplantae; Streptophyta; Magnoliopsida; Solanales; Solanaceae. The record is from RNAcentral.
CAAGGAGUUUCCCGCAAGUGCAUAACGGUUAAUUUAGGUUUUACCCAGUCCGAUGGCCCUUAGAAAUUGUUUGCACACAGUGGGUUUUGAACUUGAGACCUUGAAAAGGAGUAAACCCCAAGGCUCAAGUCAAUUGCCACCAGGCCAAUCCCUGAGGGUUAGUUGGCAACUGUUUCCAGUGUAACUUGUAACCAUAAACACUCAAACUAUUUCUAAUAGUUCAGUUCUCUUCAGAUGCUAAUAUGUGACUAAAGCAACUAGCCAACAUAAAUAUGCCAAACAUGUCUGGCAGAAGAAAACAAUGGUGAAAUACUAAGUGAAAACAGAAUCACAGCUUUUGUUGUCAUACCCCGUUACUGCUGCAUCUUAU